RNAcentral lists this ribosomal RNA (373 nucleotides) under uncultured bacterium. RNAcentral's name for it is "bacterial SSU rRNA". It matches the Rfam family "Bacterial small subunit ribosomal RNA", at positions 28 to 396 of the family's 1533-position model. The record is from RNAcentral.
GAUGAACGCUAGCGGCAGGCUUAACACAUGCAAGUCGAGGGGUAUAGUUCUUCGGAACUAGAGACCGGCGCACGGGUGCGUAACGCGUAUGCAAUCUACCUUUUGCAGAGGGAUAGCCCCAGAGAAAUUUGGAUUAAUACCUCAUAGUAUAGCAGUUUCGCAUGAAACCACUAUUAAAGUCACAACGGCAAAAGAUGAGCAUGCGUCCCAUUAGCUAGUUGGUAAGGUAACGGCUUACCAAGGCUACGAUGGGUAGGGGUCCUGAGAGGGAGAUCCCCCCANACUGGUACUGAGACACGGACCAGACUCCUACGGGAGGCAGCAGUGAGGAAUAUUGGGAACAAGUCGGGACGCAAAGCCUGAUCCAGCCAUG